Molecule: long non-coding RNA, 1416 nt
Organism: Anas platyrhynchos (mallard)
Lineage: Eukaryota; Metazoa; Chordata; Aves; Anseriformes; Anatidae
Source: RefSeq, a predicted model, not a curated record
UCAUUCCACAAAUUCCUUCAAAGCCAGAUUGAAUCUCUAAUGAAAGUAACCAGUUGGCAGGGAGUGAAACUUUUUCCUUUCCUGAUGCAGAUCCGUACCAGUCAUCUCUGUUGCAGGGGGCAGUCAAACUACGCUGGGCAUGGAGAGCCAGGGGCUGGGGCAUAGUGUCUAGAAGUGUUUCACACGGAGAAGCACUGGCAGAGAUUAACAUGAGCCCAUGAGGUGCAUUGAGGCCAUUGCAGAGUGGGUGGUAAACACAGCUGAGGUAUAUAAAGGUGUUUAAAUAAGCUGGUAACUUUACAAAGCAAUGCCCACAUAAUAUGGGCUAGUUGAUAUAAACCAGAUCACCCCUACAGAGAUAAGAUCAGGGCUGCAAUAGGAGCUGUAGGUCAAGAAUAUCCGCAGAGUUAUGUAUCAAGAGGAGGCAAGGGUGCAGCAUCUGCUUUGCAAGGAGUCCUGAUUUAGCUUGGAAAAUGCAUCAGUAGAGCUCAAGAUUGGACCUGAUAACAUCUGUACAAGAUAGAGGUAUGGAGAGGCUGUGCAACUUGCCCCAGGCCACACAAGAGAUGCAGCGAGGAACCUGGUCCUUAAACACUAGCUCAUCUCCUCUCUCUGCAGCAAAGAUGUUCUCCGAUGUCAUCAAACGUUUUUUAACCAGAUGCAGCAAGUUGGGCUCAAUUCAGGCCUCUUGAUAAGUAUGGAAAGAAGAAAGUGUGGAAAGAAAGUGUGGAGAAGAACUGAAAGAACUUCUCAGCCUGCAAAGUCAAGAAACAACUUUUAUGGGGGAAUAAAACAUAGCUUUGUUUUCAAAAAAAUAUUGUGUUGGACCCAGCAAACAGCUCUCAGCACAUUUUCUCAGCAAACUGACCUUCAGCCAGAGCUUGUGUAUUUGUGUGAUGCCAGCUUGGCUGCACUAACUGACCACACUGCUGAAACAGGGUCCAGAACAGAGCAGGAGGGAACAAUUCCUGUCUGUGUUUAUUAGGGGGUUGCAAAGCAGGAGGGGAGGCCAGCCUUUUUGUCAACAUGCAGUCACAGCACCUGCAAAAGCAGUCUUCUUCCUGGUCCUGCCCUGACCCAGCCCUGGUUCUGACCCAUGGCUGAGUCAUUUUUCUACCUAAGCGUGCCACCUCCUAACCCUUCCCAGAAUUAAGUUGUUUUUGAGACUGUCUCUUGGUGACCUGAAUGGGGAGUGAAGCGUUUUGUUAUUGCAAGUGCCAUGGCAGGACCCAUUGAGAGGCAGUGAGUCCCACCAGUUUGUACCACAUCAUGUCUGCAGAUGCUUCCUAUCCUGCAUUUUACUGUGCCCAUCCCAGCUGGUCCUCACAUUAAGCUAUCAAACCUCUCCUUACCCCACAGUACAUGCAAAAACUCAAGGUAUAUCCCUAGAAUUAAUGUGUUUGACCUCUCCAGCAG